AUGGAUCUAGGUGCUAUUGCAACUCCGCAGUCACUAUGGCUCGUCCUUCUCCUCUUCCUCAUCAUCGUGUACCUCGCGACGUCGCGUUCUAGAGCAGAGAAGCUGUACGGCAAGCUUCCAUCGCCUCCAUUCAAGCUCCCCUUGAUCGGGCACCUCCACCUCGUCGGGUCUCUGCCCCACGUCGCCCUCCGCGACCUCGCAACGAAGCACGGCCCCGACGUGAUGCUCAUCCGCCUCGGCGUCGUCCCCACGCUCGUCGUCUCGUCGCCUCGCGCUGCCAAAGCCGUCCUACGCACGUACGACCACCUGUUCGCGUCCCGGCCGCACUCCCCCGUGGGCGACAUCCUCUUCAGUGGCUCCACCAACAUAGCCUUCGCCCCCUACGGCGACUACUGGCGCCAGUUAAGGAAGAUCGUCACCACCCACCUCCUCGGCGCCAGGAAGGUCCGCUCCAACCGCGCUGCCCGUGAGACAGAGUUGCGGCUCGUCCUGGCCAGGGUAAAGGCCGCGAUAGCCGCGAGCUCGGCGGUGGACGUUAGCGAGGUCUUCAGCUACUUCGCCAACGACGUGAUAUGCCAGGCCGUGCUUGGCAGGCUGCCCCGGGAGGCGGGCCGGAACAAGAUGUUCCGGGAGCUGCUGGAGAUUAACUCCAAGCUCCUAGGUGGGUUUAUACUCACCGACUUCUUCCCCAGCCUUGCAAGGCUGGACAUGGCGUCCGGCAAGGCGGUGAAACAGAAGAAAAUAUGGGACGACCUGCUGGACGACCUCAUCGACAAGCAUGCGAGCAAGACGGUGAUGGACGAGGACGAGCAAGACUUUAUCGACGUCUUGCUGUCUGUUCAACAAGAGUACGGCUUGACCAAAGAUAACAUCAAGGCAAUACUCAUGGACAUGUUUGAAGCUGGGACCGACACAACGUACGUAUCGCUCGACUACGCCAUGGCUGAGCUGAUGCGGAACCCACGCGUGAUGACCAAACUGCAAGCCGAGGUGAGGAGCUGCGUCACCAAGGGCAAAGAAAUGGUCACCGAGGAAGACCUUGCAAGCAUGAGCUACCUCAAGGCCGUGAUGAAAGAGGCCAUGCGGCUGCACCCGUCCGGGGCUCUCUUGAUACCCCACCUCUCCGUAGCCGACUGCGAUGUAGAGGGCUACACCAUACCCUCCGGGACGCGCUUAAUGGUCAACGCGUGGGCUCUAGGCAGGGACCCCACCUGCUGGGAGAAUGCGGAGGAGUUCGUGCCCGAGCGGUUCUUGAAAGGAGCCAUGGAUGCCGCUUGCGACUUCCAGGGGAACGACUUCCGUUUCUUGCCGUUUGGGUCUGGCCGAAGGAUAUGCCCGGGCAUAACCUUCGCCGCCAUCACAUUCGAGAUCAUUCUCGCCAACCUCAUCUACCACUUCAACUGGGAGCUGCCAGAGGGGUCCCCAGGCGUCGAUAUGACGGAGGAAUACGGGAUCGAUGUGCAUCGGAAGGUGAAGCUGCUUCUUGUCCCACGCAUGGUCUAG
Molecule: ribosomal RNA, 1503 nt
Filed under: Triticum aestivum (bread wheat)
Lineage: Eukaryota; Viridiplantae; Streptophyta; Magnoliopsida; Poales; Poaceae
Description: partial small subunit ribosomal RNA
Source: RNAcentral